Molecule: ribosomal RNA, 433 nt
Filed under: uncultured bacterium
Lineage: Bacteria
Description: partial 16S ribosomal RNA
Rfam family: Bacterial small subunit ribosomal RNA
Source: RNAcentral
AACGAACGCUGGCGGCAUGCCUAACACAUGCAAAUCGAACGAGACCUCCGGGUCUUGUGGCGCACGGGUUCGUAACGCGUGGGAACCUGCCCUUAGGUUCGGAAUAACUCUCCGAAAGGGGUGCUAAUACCGGAUAAUGUCUUCGGCCCAAAGAUUUAUCGCCUUUGGAUGGGCCCGCGUUGGAUUAGCUAGUUGGUAGGGUAAAAGCCUACCAAGGCGACGAUCAGUAGCUGGUCUGAGAGGAUGAUCAGCCACACUGGGACUGGGACACGGCCGAGACUCCUACGGGAGGCAGCAGUGGGGGAUAUUGGAAAAUGGGCGGAAGCCUGAUGCAGCAAUGCCGCGUAAGUGAUGAAGGCCUUAGGGUUGUAAAGCGCUUUUACCCGGGAUGAUAAUGACAGUACCGGGAGAAUAAGCUCCGGCUAACUCCGUG